UCUGAUUGGGUCAACAGGCAGGGCUCACAGAGAACUCCUGCGCGUGUGCUCAGCUGCCUAUCCAUGCUCCACAUGCAACUGAAAGAAACAGAAAGCAGUCAUUUUUGGCAGCCACGUGGUGCGUUGCAGCUGGGGAAAAAUGAUGGCAGAGCCUGUGCUGUGAUGGCUGGUUGAACCAGCCGGAAGACUCCAGCUAUAAACAGUCCUUCAAGGAGAGUAUAACCCCAUCCAAAACCGAUCUCCGGAUCGAGGUCAAGAACUUGACAGGAGGAAAAUCCAUUCAGAGAUACCAACCAACUAUGUGCAAGCCAUUGCACCUUUAUCCUUCCCUCUUCCAGUGCAUCCUAAAGCUUAGAUUGGAGACUGACACCCUUUGUCUGGAUAGCUUUGGACAACGGUAGUCUUUACCUUGUCAGUCUGGAAGCUGACCCCAGAGCCAUAUCUGCAGAAGGUCACAAAAUGUUCACAGUUGUUCCAAAGCAAGCUGUAGUCUGUGGCCCCCACCAACUUUUCUGCUCUACUGACCACCUCUUCAUUACUCAGGACUUUGUUCUUGAAGAGCCUGUCCAUGUGGUUCACCAGAAUGCAGCCUCCAUAGGCAAAGUCCUCCACUGUGUCCACACGGAUCCGGGCCAUUUUGGCAAUGACGCCCAAGAUGAGUCUCUUAUUAGUCACCACCUUCUGGAUCUGCUUCUGGUCGUUGGUGAGAGCUGGCAGGAUGUCUGGCAUCAGGUGGGCCACCCGGUUGUCACCCAGGUAGAUGCCAAAGUGAAUGAAAAGCGUGCGGGGCACUUCCAACAAAUCUCCUGGCUUGAAAUAGGUUGUGUCAUAAUAAGAAGCAUGUUUUUUCUUUUCAUCUUCCUCACUGCUGGAGCCCAUACCAAGGAGCCUGGUGAUCAGGAGAAACUUUUCCAGUAGCAGCGACACUAUUUCGUACAUAGGGUUCUUCAUGAUCUUGUUUCUGGAUGCUGCCACCGCCACAGCUGCUCCUGUUAUUGCCUCAGUCGGCUUCAAAAUCUUGCCUUUUUAUCACAGCAAGAGGGUCCAUCCCACCAACCGAAUCCAUUUUGAUUGGCAGACAGGCAAGUGGGUGGCCCCUGUAGAAUGAAACAGACCUUGACUCAGACAGUGGCUCUUGCAGAAAACAUGCUCCAGGAGAUCGGAUGAUUUAUUCAUGACUGAAGGCACAACAAUAAAAACAACAAAAUCAGCCCCAGAUCAAGCAUUGCAUUGAGGAUUUUGUUACACAAGUUUCGAAAACUUCAUCUUGACAGAUUAUAAAGAUGUACAGAAAUUCAAACAUA
This is a long non-coding RNA of Anolis carolinensis (green anole), 1304 nucleotides long. RefSeq lists it as uncharacterized. The record is from RefSeq and is a predicted model, not a curated record. NCBI's taxonomy places the organism in Eukaryota, Metazoa, Chordata, Lepidosauria, Squamata, Anolidae. The transcript has 2 exons.